Molecule: long non-coding RNA, 889 nt
Filed under: Homo sapiens (human)
Lineage: Eukaryota; Metazoa; Chordata; Mammalia; Primates; Hominidae
Description: HSALNT0255020
Source: RNAcentral
UGUGCAUCAAAUGCUGAGAAGGCAGCCUGGCUGGAGCUGGGGUCUGUGCGUGGACGGCGCUGGUGCAGGGUGGGGAGGAGGCUCAGCCAUGCGGUGGGCAGGGAGUGAUGCCUGAUGCACAGAGGACAGAGGGUGCCGGUUUCUUAGUGCCAGAAGAGGGAGGAAUAUACCAAGGGAGGCACCCACGUGCCCCUGGCGUCAUCUCCACAUGCAGGCAGGCAGGCAGAAAGUAAGAGAUCAUGUGGACAAAGGUGUGUCCCCAGCUCUGUCCGUCAUCUCCACAUGCAGGCAGGCAGGCAGGCAGAGAGUAAGAGAUCAUGUGGACAAAGGUGUGUCCCCAGCUCUGUCCGCGGAGGGCCGGGAGCAGGGCUACACCUGAGUCAGUGAGAUCGCAGUACCGCACGGAGUGAUUUCAGACCUUGGUUUCUAAAGACCAUGUUCCCUGAAGAACCAGCGUGCCUCUGAGAAAUGCAGAUUCCAGGACUGGGAUGAGAAAAGAGGCUGAGCCGGGAGGCUCUUGUUGUGACAAAGUAAGGGCAGUGCUCAAAUGAACAACGGGGACCUGCCUGACAGGGCUUCCACUGGCCAAAUCUGGGACAACCUGAACAUUAAAUAAAAACCAGUAACCAUAGACGGUCACCCACUGAUGCCAACAGAAGCUCGCCUGUCUAUGUUGACACAAUCGAUCAAGGAACAAGCACGUGGGGAGAAGGGCAAGCUCCUCCUUCCAGUGAACACCACUAAUCAACGCGGCAGGGAUGGUGCUCAGAGUAUCCCACGGGUGGUGAGUGCCUGUAAUCCCAGCUACUUGAGAGGCUGAGGCUUGAGAAUCUCUUGAGCUCAGGAGGCAGAGGGUGCAGUGAGCCAAGAUUGUGCCACUGCACUCCAG